UACGUAGGGCGCAAGCGUUGUCCGGAAUUAUUGGGCGUAAAGAGCUCGUAGGCGGCUUGUCACGUCGGGUGUGAAAGCCCGGGGCUUAACCCCGGGUCUGCAUUCGAUACGGGCAGGCUAGAGUGUGGUAGGGGAGAUCGGAAUUCCUGGUGUAGCGGUGAAAUGCGCAGAUAUCAGGAGGAACACCGGUGGCGAAGGCGGAUCUCUGGGCCAUUACUGACGCUGAGGAGCGAAGGUCAGGGGAGCAAACGGG
Molecule: ribosomal RNA, 253 nt
Filed under: uncultured bacterium
Lineage: Bacteria
Description: partial 16S ribosomal RNA
Rfam family: Bacterial small subunit ribosomal RNA
Source: RNAcentral